RNAcentral lists this ribosomal RNA (405 nucleotides) under uncultured bacterium. RNAcentral's name for it is "partial 16S ribosomal RNA". It matches the Rfam family "Bacterial small subunit ribosomal RNA", at positions 30 to 526 of the family's 1533-position model. The record is from RNAcentral.
AUUGAACGCUGGCGGCAGGCCUAACACAUGCAAGUCGAACGAGUGGCGGACGGGUGAGUAAUGUCUGGGAAACUGCCUGAUGGAGGGGGAUAACUACUGGAAACGGUAGCUAAUACCGCAUACCAUCAGAUGUGCCCAGAUGGGAUUCGCUUGUUGGUGGGGUAACGGCUCACCAAGGCGACGAUCCCUAGCUGGUCUGAGAGGAUGACCGGCCACACGGAAACUGGGACACGGUCCGGACUCCUACGGGAGGCAGCGGUGGGAAUUAUUGCACAAGGGGGGCAAGCCUGAUGCGGCCAGGCCGCGUGUAUGUAGAAGGCCUACGGGUUGUAAAGUACUUUCAGCGGGGAGGCGUUACCCGCAGGAGAAGCACCGGCUAACUCCGUGCCAGCAGCCGCGUAAUUC